RNAcentral lists this ribosomal RNA (528 nucleotides) under uncultured Actinomycetes bacterium. RNAcentral describes it as "bacterial SSU rRNA". It matches the Rfam family "Bacterial small subunit ribosomal RNA", at positions 8 to 522 of the family's 1533-position model. Lineage: Bacteria; Bacillati; Actinomycetota; Actinomycetes. The record is from RNAcentral.
AGAGUUUGAUCAUGGCUCAGGACGAACGCUGGCGGCGUGCUUAACACAUGCAAGUGGAGCGACGAACCGGGCUUCGGCCCGGGGCAAAGCCGCGAACGGGUGAGUAUCACGUGGGUAACCUGCCCCAAUGACCGGGACAACCCGAGGAAACUCGGGCUAAUACCGGAUGUGCUCCUCGCACACCAGUGCGAGGAGGAAAGGAAGCUUCGGCCUCCGCAUCGGGAUGGGCCCGCGGCCCAUUAGCUUGUUGGUGAGGUAAAAGCUCACCAAGGCGACGAUGGGUAGCUGGUCUGAGAGGACGAUCAGCCACACUGGGACUGAGACACGGCCCAGACUCCUACGGGAGGCAGCAGUGGGGAAUCUUGCGCAAUGCGCGAAAGCGUGACGCAGCAACGCCGCGUGAGGGAAGAAGGCCUUCGGGUUGUAAACCUCUUUCAGGAGGGACGAAGGUUCAGGCGCGAAUAGCGUCCUGGACUGACGGUACCUCCAGAAGAAGCCCCGGCUAACUACGUGCCAGCAGCCGCGGUA